UCAAAUUUUAGUGUACAAGCUCAGCUAGGGAAAAAGAACAAAUUGGAACGGAACAGUUUCCAAACAGUGAAGGAGGUUCUUCCAAACUCAUCCCUAACUGAACAUGAGGAUGAAUUGGCGUUAGGCGAACACAGUCAGUUAUUCAGUCCACCACCUGACAGUGUGUUAAAUUUAAAUUCUGUUAGUGCUGUACUAAAAGAAUUGUUAGUAAUAAGUCCAUGCAGCGAAGGAACUGGAGAAUUGUGGGACUGUAGUUGGGCCGAAAAUGGGUGUGGUAUGGAAACCCAGAAAUGGCAUGAGUUCAACAUAAAACAUGGAUUAGAAUUUUAGUGGGGGAUCAAGUCAAGUCUGGAAGUGUUACAGGGUGGAAGAGUGAGCCUUCAGUUGAAAAACACUGAAAGUGCAUUACCAUUAAGAUAUGAGAGUGUUGGUGAAGCUGGGUAUUUAAAUGGCCCUAAAGAUGUUUCACUUCACUGGCAUUGCAGCAAUGAACAUCAUACAUGGACUCUUUAGGAAAGGAUUUUUAGCAUACUGGUAACACAACUAUCAACAAUGCAACAUUCUACGGGUGUUAUUUUAUCAUUCGAGAGCCUUAUACAAUGAUUUUCAUCUACAAUUUGUAUGGC
Long non-coding RNA from Daphnia carinata, 626 nucleotides. RefSeq lists it as uncharacterized. Lineage: Eukaryota; Metazoa; Arthropoda; Branchiopoda; Diplostraca; Daphniidae. The transcript has 5 exons. The record is from RefSeq and is a predicted model, not a curated record.